AGUGGCGAACGGGUGAGUAAAGUAUCGGAACGUGCCCAGUCGUGGGGGAUAACGUAGCGAAAGUUACGCUAAUACCGCAUACGAUCUAUGGAUGAAAGCGGGGGAUCGCAAGACCUCGCGCGAUUGGAGCGGCCGAUAUCAGAUUAGGUAGUUGGUGGGGUAAAGGCUCACCAAGCCGACGAUCUGUAGCUGGUCUGAGAGGACGACCAGCCACACUGGGACUGAGACACGGCCCAGACUCCUACGGGAGGCAGCAGUGGGGAAUUUUGGACAAUGGGCGCAAGCCUGAUCCAGCCAUGCCGCGUGCAGGAUGAAGGUCUUCGGGUUGUAAACUGCUUUUGUACGGAACGAAAAGGUUUGGCCUAAUAAGCUGAGCUCAUGACGGUACCGUAAGAAUAAGCACCGGCUAACUACGUGCCAGCAGCCGCGGUAAUACGUAGGGUGCGAGCGUUAAUCGGAAUUACUGGGCGUAAAGCGUGCGCAGGCGGUUAUGUAAGACAGAUGUGAAAUCCCCGGGCUCAACCUGGGAACUGCAUUAGUGACUGCAUAGCUGGAGUACGGCAGAGGGGGAUGGAAUUCCGCGUGUAGCAGUGAAAUGCGUAGAUAUGCGGAGGAACACCGAUGGCGAACGCCAUUCUCUGGGUCUGUACUGACGCUCAUGCACGAAAGCGUGG
Molecule: ribosomal RNA, 674 nt
Filed under: uncultured Curvibacter sp.
Lineage: Bacteria; Pseudomonadati; Pseudomonadota; Betaproteobacteria; Burkholderiales; Comamonadaceae
Description: bacterial SSU rRNA
Rfam family: Bacterial small subunit ribosomal RNA
Source: RNAcentral